AUGCUGCUGAUGCACGCAGGAGACCCGAUGCUGGUGAUGAGGGACGCGCUGCUGUGGCAGCUCCAGAAGGACCGCCUUCGCCAGGAGAUCAUCGUGGCCGAGCUGGCCAAGAUAGAGCGUGCCAUGGCCCUGCAUACCACUGGAGUUUCUGUUUAUACUUUAGAGGCUUCCCUUACAAUUUUCAUUAAAAAAAUGACACCAUGA
This 204-nucleotide ribosomal RNA is filed under the name Triticum aestivum (bread wheat). RNAcentral's name for it is "partial small subunit ribosomal RNA". Lineage: Eukaryota; Viridiplantae; Streptophyta; Magnoliopsida; Poales; Poaceae. The record is from RNAcentral.